RNAcentral lists this ribosomal RNA (495 nucleotides) under Entrophospora sp. 1 GS-2015. RNAcentral describes it as "SSU rRNA". It matches the Rfam family "Eukaryotic small subunit ribosomal RNA", at positions 576 to 1069 of the family's 1831-position model. Lineage: Eukaryota; Fungi; Glomeromycota; Glomeromycetes; Entrophosporales; Entrophosporaceae. The record is from RNAcentral.
GCGGGAAUUCCAGCUCCAAUAGCGUAUAUUAAAGUUGUUGCAGUUAAAAAGCUCGUAGUUGAAUUUCGGGAUUGACACAUCGGUCGUGCCUUAAGGGGUAUGAACUGGUGUAGUCAAUUUCUCACCUUCUGGAGAACCGCGAUGCCCUUAAUUGGGUGUCACGGGGAACCAGGACCUUUACUUUGAAAAAAUUAGAGUGUUUAAAGCAGGCAUUUUGCUUGAAUACAUUAGCAUGGAAUAAUAAAAUAGGACGGCAUGAUUCUAUUUUGUUGGUUUCUAGGAUCACCGUAAUGAUUAAUAGGGAUAGUUGGGGGCAUUAGUAUUCAAUUGUCAGAGGUGAAAUUCUUGGAUUUAUUGAAGACUAACUACUGCGAAAGCAUUUGCCAAGGAUGUUUUCAUUAAUCAAGAACGAAAGUUAGGGGAUCGAAGACGAUCAGAUACCGUCGUAGUCUUAACCAUAAACUAUGCCGACUAGGAAUCAGACGAUGUUAAUAC